RNAcentral lists this ribosomal RNA (255 nucleotides) under uncultured bacterium. RNAcentral's name for it is "partial 16S ribosomal RNA". It matches the Rfam family "Bacterial small subunit ribosomal RNA", at positions 524 to 776 of the family's 1533-position model. The record is from RNAcentral.
GACAGAGGCCUCAAGCGUUAGGCGGAAUCACUGGGCUUAAAGCGUGUGUAGGCGGAUCGUUAAGUGUCUUGUGAAAUCCCACGGCUCACCCGUGGAACUGCUGGGCAUACUGGCGAUCUUGGGCCAACUAGGGGCAACUGGAACAAGCGGUGGAGCGGUGAAAUGCGUAGAUAUCGCUUGGAACGCCAAAGGUGAAAACAGGUUGCUGGGGUUGUGCCGACGCUGAGACACGAAAGCCCAGGGGAGGCAAACGGG